CAGAAUCUUGUACUUUGUGUCCACGAUGGU
RNAcentral lists this non-coding RNA (30 nucleotides) under Mus musculus (house mouse). RNAcentral also lists the same sequence under 1 other name. The record is from RNAcentral. Lineage: Eukaryota; Metazoa; Chordata; Mammalia; Rodentia; Muridae.